GACGAACGCUGGCGGCGUGCUUAACACAUGCAAGUCGAACGGAAAGGCCCUGCUUUUGUGGGGUGCUCGAGUGGCGAACGGGUGAGUAACACGUGAGUAACCUGCCCUUGACUUUGGGAUAACUUCAGGAAACUGGGGCUAAUACCGGAUAGGAGCUCCUGCUGCAUGGUGGGGGUUGGAAAGUUUCGGCGGUUGGGGAUGGACUCGCGGCUUAUCAGCUUGUUGGUGGGGUAGUGGCUUACCAAGGCUUUGACGGGUAGCCGGCCUGCGAGGGUGACCGGCCACAUUGGGACUGAGAUACGGCCCAGACUCCUACGGGAGGCAGCGGUGGAGAAUAUUGCACAAUGGGCGGAAGCCUGAUGCAGCAACGCCGCGUGCGGGAUGACGGCCUUCGGGUUGUAAACCGCUUUCGCCUGUGACGAAGCGUGAGUGACGGUAAUGGGUAAAGAAGCACCGGCUAACUACGUG
Molecule: ribosomal RNA, 468 nt
Filed under: uncultured bacterium
Lineage: Bacteria
Description: partial 16S ribosomal RNA
Rfam family: Bacterial small subunit ribosomal RNA
Source: RNAcentral